AAAAGCUAAGGUGCCUUUGUGGUUAAAAGGGAAAGUGGUGAAAAUCUGCUACAGCCCCCGCUACUGUAAACGGUGACAAAUUUCAGAGUCCACUAGCUAUUAUGCUGGGAAGGAGGAAGGAGGUUGAACCGUAAGUCAGGAAACCUGCCUGAGCUUAA
This 158-nucleotide non-coding RNA is filed under the name Anaerosalibacter massiliensis. The record is from RNAcentral. Lineage: Bacteria; Bacillati; Bacillota; Tissierellia; Tissierellales; Sporanaerobacteraceae.